RNAcentral lists this ribosomal RNA (312 nucleotides) under Triticum aestivum (bread wheat). Its description in RNAcentral is "partial small subunit ribosomal RNA". Lineage: Eukaryota; Viridiplantae; Streptophyta; Magnoliopsida; Poales; Poaceae. The record is from RNAcentral.
AUGUCUCAUGACAUGGACUAUACCAGUCAGACAAUCAAUGAACUAAAUGAGAAGAAGAAACAACUUGAGGAUCAGGCAAAGAUUGAGUUAAGUAUGGAAAAGCUAAAGCUAGCCAAGGAGCAAAGGUGCAUUCUUCAAAGCCAAGCAGAUAUCAUUCAUAACAUGAGGAAGGCCAUGAAGGAGGUGGAGGGGGACAGGGACCUACUUAAGCAAGAGAAGAAGAAGCUGGAGUAUAUGAUUGCUGAUCUGCUCAAUGCUGGGCAUGCCAGCAAAGAUAAGCUAGAGAGGAUCAAGGCAAUUAUGAAUGAGUGA